This 345-nucleotide unclassified non-coding RNA is filed under the name soil metagenome. RNAcentral describes it as "partial contains 5.8S ribosomal RNA, internal transcribed spacer 2, and large subunit ribosomal RNA". The stretch from base 1 to 120 matches the Rfam family "5.8S ribosomal RNA", at positions 35 to 154 of the family's 154-position model. The record is from RNAcentral.
GAUGAAGAACGCAGUGAAAUGCGAUACGUAAUGUGAAUUGCAGAAUUCAGUGAAUCAUCGAGUCUUUGAACGCACAUUGCGCCCCCUGGUAUUCCGGGGGGCAUGCCUGUCCGAGCGUCAUUGCUGCCCUCAAGCACGGCUUGUGUGUUGGGCCUCCGUCCUCCUCCCGGGGGACGAGCCCGAAAGGCAGCGGCGGCACCGCGUCCGGUCCUCGAGCGUAUGGGGCUUCGUCACCCGCUCUUGUAGGCCCGGCCGGCGCUUGCCGACACAUCAAUCUUUUUUCCAGGUUGACCUCGGAUCAGGUAGGGAUACCCGCUGAACUUAAGCAUAUCAAUAAGCGGAGGA